AUACGGAGGAUCCGAGCGUUAUCCGGAUUUAUUGGGUUUAAAGGGAGCGUAGGUGGGAUAUUAAGUCAGCUGUGAAAGUUUGGGGCUCAACCUUAAAAUUGCAGUUGAUACUGGUUUCCUUGAGUACGGUACAGGUGGGCUGAAUUCGUGGUGUAGCGGUGAAAUGCUUAGAUAUCACGAAGAACUACGAUCGCGAAGGCAGAUCCCCGGGACGGAACUUUCUCUGAUGCUCGAAAGUGCUGGUAUCAAACAGGAUUAGAGUCCCUUGUAGGCCGCACAGUAAACGAUGAAUACUCGCUGUUUGCGAUACACUGUAAUCGGCCAAGCGAAAGCGUUAAGUAUUCCCCCUGGGGAGUACGCCGGCAACGGUGAAACUCAAAUGAAUUGACGGGG
This 393-nucleotide ribosomal RNA is filed under the name uncultured bacterium. RNAcentral describes it as "partial 16S ribosomal RNA". It matches the Rfam family "Bacterial small subunit ribosomal RNA", at positions 523 to 918 of the family's 1533-position model. The record is from RNAcentral.